Molecule: ribosomal RNA, 491 nt
Filed under: uncultured bacterium
Lineage: Bacteria
Description: partial 16S ribosomal RNA
Rfam family: Bacterial small subunit ribosomal RNA
Source: RNAcentral
AGUGAACGCUGGCGGUAGGCCUAACACAUGCAAGUCGAACGGCAGCACAGUAAGAGCUUGCUCUUACGGGUGGCGAGUGGCGGACGGGUGAGGAAUACAUCGGAAUCUACUUUUUCGUGGGCGAUAACGUAGGGAAACUUACGCUAAUACCGCAUACGACCUACGGGUGAAAGCAGGGGAUCUUCGGACCUUGCGCGAUUGAAUGAGCCGAUGUCGGAUUAGCUAGUUGGCGGGGUAAAGGCCCACCAAGGCGACGAUCCGUAGCUGGUCUGAGAGGAUGAUCAGCCACACUGUAACUGAGACACGGUCCAGACUCCAACGGGAGGCAGAAGUGAGGAAUAUUGGACAAUGGGCGAAAGCCUGAUCCAGCCAUACCGCGUGGGUGAAGAAGGCCUUCGGGUUGUAAAGCCCUUUUGUUGGGAAAGAAAAGCAGCAGGUUAAUACCCCGCUGUUCUGACGGUACCCAAAGAAUAAGCACCGGCGAACUUCGU